UGAGGAACAUGACCUUCGGCGGGGGAUAGCCGGCCCAACGGCCGGGUAAUACCGCGUACGACCAUUUGGGGACAUCCCCGAGUGGUGAAAGCAGCAAUGCGCCGAUGGAGUGCCUCGCGGCCUAUCAGCUAGUUGGUGGGGUAACGGCUCACCAAGGCAACGACGGGUAGCUGGUCUGAGAGGAUGGCCAGCCACAGUUGGGACUGAGACACGGCCCAGACCUCCGUACGGGAGGNAGCG
Molecule: ribosomal RNA, 240 nt
Filed under: uncultured bacterium
Lineage: Bacteria
Description: partial 16S ribosomal RNA
Rfam family: Bacterial small subunit ribosomal RNA
Source: RNAcentral